RNAcentral lists this unclassified non-coding RNA (455 nucleotides) under Hevea brasiliensis (rubber tree). Lineage: Eukaryota; Viridiplantae; Streptophyta; Magnoliopsida; Malpighiales; Euphorbiaceae. The record is from RNAcentral.
CUGAAAUCAAUCAUGCCAUUGGAGCAGAAGGGAUUGUGAGUGCUGAGUGCAAGGAAGUGAUUACACAGUAUGGAGAGUUAAUAUGGGAUCUACUGAUAUCAGGGAUACAACCUGGUAAAGUAUGCUCACAGCUAGGUUUAUGCAUUUUCAACGGGGCUCAGUAUAAGAGCACUGUGAUUGAAUCAGUGGUUGAGAAGGAAAACAAGGAGGAAUCGUCUAUUGGGGAUGAUCUUCUAUGCACAGCCUGUGAGAUGCUUGUCAUUUGGGUCCAGAAUCAACUAAAACAAAAGAAGACAAAGGAGGCAGCACUCAACUAUGUGAAUAAGUUAUGCGAUAGCCUCCCAAGUCCAAUGGGAGAGUCAGUGAUCGAUUGUGACAGCGUUUUAAGCAUGCCAAACAUCACUUUUACCAUAGGAGAUAAACCUUUCAAUCUCACUCCAGAGCAGUAUAUUCUG